AUGAGAAGAAGGUCACCGUGGUUGCUCUGAGCAGGGGCAUCAGCCUCCUUUGCACCUCGGCAUCUCCUGUGCUUGUGUGCCCACCUGGGCCACCCUCUCUGCAGGGCUGAGCUGUGAUCACCAGGGCCCUGCCAGCGCAGCUGUGGCAGAGCUCCACCGAAGCCCUGGUGAUGGCAGAGGAGAGCCCUGCUCCCGGAGUGGCGGGAUGACACGGAGCAGCUUCACAGGGCAGGAGGGGCUGGAAGUGUGGGCUGAAACGGCAGGGCAGUGGGGUUUGAAGAGAGACUGGCUCUGGAGUUCCUAGUCCAGCGGCACUCCGCAGGGCGCUGGGCUGGGGCUGUGAUGGCAAGAUGAGAUGAGCUGCACUUCACACAGGGCAGGAGUGCAGGAGCACUGCCGCAGCCAGAGGAACUUUGGUGUCUUUUUUUGGAAUGCUUUUGAUAGUCGAGGUGGCAUCUGACCUUCAUCUGGGAUCUGAUGGCUCAGGGAACUCCAGCUAUAAUAUCGGCCAUCAGUCGCUACUCUCGUAUACAGAACUAGUGCCAGGCUCAGAAAAACCUCAGAGAAAGCUGACUGCUCCUGAGAAGCAAUUCCCCUUGUUGCAUUUGCUAAAACUCCUGGGCCCCUGAGGUAUACAAGGGAGUGUCUGAGUUCAGAUCUUCCAGGCCUUGUCCUCCAGCAGGAGCACCAGGGAAGUCCUGUAAGAUCCCCGCAUGCUUCAACGCUGAAAUCAGUGAAUUGCCUGCUGUUCCACACCACUGGCAAGGACAGAACCUCUUCCCACUGCUCUGACAUGGCAUCAAUCAGAGCAUCAGACAGCAGCGGGGCAGCAGCUCUGUGGGAUGGAGGUUUGGGACCCUGGAGCUGGCGGAGAUGCCAACAGCACUCCCAGAUGUUCCUGAGCCCUGCUGUGACCUCUCUCAUGUGACACGGGCAUGGCUUAAGGGCUCUGUAGGUUUAGGACUUGGACAGAUGAUGCCAGGAGGAACAGUUUAUUAUCUGGGGACCGUGGCUGCGGGUGGGUAUUCUCUGUGGCUGAAACCGAGUUUGGAAAGGAACCAGGUUGAUUUGGUGAGUUUGGCUGAGACCUCUGUCAACAAAAUUAAAAGGGGGAGUCUGGGAGACACAUGGCUUGCUCACAAACACACCACUGUGGAGGCAGCAGCUUUGCAGUGUUGUAUGUUCACCUGUCUCAAACACAAAAAAAAAAGAUUAAGCCAGUUUGUUUCUGAGAACAGGAGGAGAUCAGGAGAGCAAAGGACCAGAGGAAAGCAAAUGCUGUGCUGACUGGCAAAGAGACUGCUCUCUUUGUGUUCUUUGUGCUUGACUGAAACAUCUUCACAGGAUUUUUUUCCCUCUAAUCUGGAAAUAAUUCUGAUUUAUUUUAAGCCUUCUGUUAAGAGUCACGCAGCAGCGGCUGGCUGGCGGCUGCGUGCGCGCGGACGCCUCAGUGUGCUUCCAAGGGGCUGCUGCCUUCUUCAGUUGACACUGCAGUCAAUUAUUGUGUUUUUCAAUUAUAUAUAAAAGGCAAUGAUGGAGAUUUCCAGCUUUUAUAGCACCACAAAUCACAUAGUCCUUCACUGUACACACGGCAUGGCUGCCACAGCAUGGGAGAUCACGGCCUCGCCAUGCAGGCUUGCAGAGGGAGCAGUGCCACCAAGGACCCCCCAAAACUGCAAAAGGAACACCAUGGGCAGGGCAGACCUUCACGGGCAGCUCUGCAGGGUCCUUCAGCCACCAGCCCCUGGCUGACAGGCAGGGACGGGCAGUGUGGUCCCUGGGAUUGAGGAAGGGCAGGAAGAUCUAUUUUCCACUUGCUUCACAUGGUCAGCAGCAUGUCUGUGAAGGAGCUGUGCAGCUUAUGUGGGCAAGGAAGGGUUAAGGUUAGGACAUCAUUGGUGAGCAGGGUCAUGGCACAGAGUGACACCGGCUGCAUCAUUUCUGUGGGUGCUCAGUCACACAGCCAGCCCAAAGGUGCUGGGGAGAUCUGAAGCGACAGGCUGGGAAACUGCUGGGAACUGGGAUCUUUUUCACGGAAUGAUCAUUUCAUUGCACAUAAUAUCAUAACAUAAUUAUACUUGCAAAUUUAGCCCUUGAAAAAAGGGGCUUGGGCUGGUGGAUCUGGAGUGUUUGUCUUUGAAACCAAGCAAUAUAAGGAAAAAAACAAGUCUGUAACAGAGCAUGAACAGUCCUCCUCAGCAGCCAGAAAAUGCCACUUCCCAUCUAAGGAUCUGAAAAAGAUUCAACAUUGGCAGGCUUGGUCCUGACUUUGGGAUUUGGGUACCUUUAUCCACCUUUAAAUGUCCCAAAAUGGUCUGGUGCAAGGACAGCACUAGCACUUGUCAGCUUCUCCAGUUUCCUUUAGCAGAAGAGAUAUUAGCCAAGCCACUUUUAUUCUGUUCUGCUGGCAGGGAAGGGGGUGUCUGAAUGCAUCACAGGCUGUGUUUCACCUGUGGCAGAUUGGUGGUAACCCAGCAGUCAGGUCCAGGAGAGUGAGGCUGUGAGAGGCUGAGUGAGCAGGAGCAGAAAUCAAAUCAUUGCCACAAAGAGUGAACAAGAACACUUGAAUUCUGGGACUCCAGUGAGAAAGCAAGUGAGAAAAAUGAACAGAAGCUGUCAGCUAAACUGGAUAUAUUGACUGCAGUACAAACUGGAGGAGGAGAAGUGAUCCUGGUGACUGGGACGGAGAUUUUUGGAAUGGUUCUGUUUCACCCAGAACACACCCUGGACCCUUGUGCUCCUUCGCAGGGUAAGGAUACAAGCAAGGAGGAUCCUCCCAUGGUAAAGAAAGCUGUAAGUUCAGGGAGACAGAGACCAGUGGGACAGAGAGAUAGAGACUCAGUUAACUGGAGCUGGUUACCAGUGAAGACUGGUUUUGAGCCUAAACUGAAAAAAGAAAAAAAGAAAAAAAAAAAAAAAAAAAAAAAAAAAAAAAAAAAAAAAAAAAAAACCAACAACAACAAA
Hirundo rustica (Barn swallow) is the source of this 2964-nucleotide long non-coding RNA. RefSeq lists it as uncharacterized. The record is from RefSeq and is a predicted model, not a curated record. The transcript has 2 exons. NCBI's taxonomy places the organism in Eukaryota, Metazoa, Chordata, Aves, Passeriformes, Hirundinidae.